GGGCAAGCCUCAUUUAUAUUCCAACUGUAGAGGGAAAUAAAAAUACCCCAAUUUUCCUAAGUCCAAUCUCUAUUCUCUCCUAGUAUUCAAAUUUUAUUUUAAUUCUGACCAUAAUCCAAACACAUCGAGGGAUAUGGCUACUCAGAUUCCCAUUCAAUCCAUUCCAAUUUAGAUUCCAAUUCUGAUUAUGAUCAUGAACCAAAUGCAUCCUAAAAGUCUGAGACCUU
Molecule: long non-coding RNA, 227 nt
Filed under: Elaeis guineensis (African oil palm)
Lineage: Eukaryota; Viridiplantae; Streptophyta; Magnoliopsida; Arecales; Arecaceae
Description: long non-coding RNA (EGUI_LNC027670)
Source: RNAcentral